CCUACGGGAGGCAGCAGUGAGGAAUAUUGGUCAAUGGGCGCGAGCCUGAACCAGCCAAGUCGCGUGAGGGAAGACGGUCCUAUGGAUUGUAAACCUCUUUUGUCGGGGGGCAAAAGACGCCACGCGUGGCGUUCUGAGAGUACCCGAUGAAAAAGCAUCGGCUAACUCCGUGCCAGCAGCCGCGGUAAUACGGAGGAUUCGAGCGUUAUCCGGAUUUAUUGGGUUUAAAGGGUGCGCAGGCGGCAGAUCAAGUGAGCGGUAAAAUUGAGAGGCUCAACCUCUUCGAGCCGUGGAAACUGGUUUUCUUGAGUGCGUGAGAGGUAUGCGGAAUGCGUGGUGUAGCGGUGAAAUGCAUAGAUAUCACGCAGAACUCCGAUUGCGAAGGCAGCAUACCGGCGCUCAACUGACGCUCAUGCACGAAAGUGUGGGUAUCGAACAGGAUUAGAUACCCGUGUAGUC
This 459-nucleotide ribosomal RNA is filed under the name uncultured bacterium. Its description in RNAcentral is "partial 16S ribosomal RNA". It matches the Rfam family "Bacterial small subunit ribosomal RNA", at positions 338 to 795 of the family's 1533-position model. The record is from RNAcentral.